AAGGAGUGUGUAACAACUCACCUGCCGAAUGGACUAGCCCUGAAAAUGGAUGGCGCUGAAGCGAGUGACUUAUACUCAACCAUCGCGGCAAGUGCGACGCCGCGAUGAGUAGGAGGGCGUGGAGGUCGUGGCGCAUCCCGCGGCGUGAGCCGGGGUGAAACGGCCUCUAGUGCAGAUCUUGGUGGUAGUAGCAAAUAUUCAAAUGAGAACUUUGAAGACUGAAGUGGGGAAAGGUUCCACGUGAACAGCAAUUGGACGUGGGUUAGUCGAUCCUAAGAGAUAGGAGAAAUCCGUUAGAAAGCGGGCCGUUCUCGGAUGGCCCCGCCUAUCGAAAGGGAAUCGGGUUAAUAUUCCCGAACCAGGACGUGGAUAUUGAGUGGCAACACAAGCAAAACCGGGGAAGGCGGCGAGGGCUCCGAGGAGAGUUAUCUUUUCUUGUUAACAGCAGUUGCGACCCUGGAAUCGGAUUGGCCGGAGAUAGGGUUGCAGCUCUGGGAAAGGCGGUUAAUUUGUGACCGCUUCGGUGCGCUUUCGACGUCCCUUGAAAACCCGGUGGCGUGACUUAUUCGCACCCCUGGUCGUACUCAUAACCGCCUCAGGUCUCCAAGGUGUGCAGCCUCUGGCCGAUAGAAGAAUGUAGGUAAGGGAAGUCGGCAAAAUAGAUCCGUAACCUCGGGAAAAUGAUUGGCUCUGAGGGUUGGGCUUGUGGG
Molecule: ribosomal RNA, 710 nt
Filed under: uncultured eukaryote
Lineage: Eukaryota
Description: partial Eukaryotic large subunit ribosomal RNA
Rfam family: Eukaryotic large subunit ribosomal RNA
Source: RNAcentral